RNAcentral lists this non-coding RNA (45 nucleotides) under Trichobilharzia regenti. The record is from RNAcentral. Lineage: Eukaryota; Metazoa; Platyhelminthes; Trematoda; Strigeidida; Schistosomatidae.
GUCCGGACGAUGAGUCCCAAAUAUGACGAAAUGCACAUCCUGGAU